This 252-nucleotide ribosomal RNA is filed under the name uncultured bacterium. Its description in RNAcentral is "partial 16S ribosomal RNA". It matches the Rfam family "Bacterial small subunit ribosomal RNA", at positions 524 to 776 of the family's 1533-position model. The record is from RNAcentral.
UACGUAGGGUGCAAGCGUUGUCCGGAAUUAUUGGGCGUAAAGAGCUCGUAGGCGGUUUGUCGCGUCUGCUGUGAAAACUCGGGGCUUAACCCCGGGCCUGCAGUGGGUACGGGCAGACUAGAGUGCGGUAGGGGAGACUGGAAUUCCUGGUGUAGCGGUGAAAUGCGCAGAUAUCAGGAGGAACACCGGUGGCGAAGGCGGGUCUCUGGCCGUAACUGACGCUGAGGAGCGAAAGCAUGGGGAGCGAACAGG